Molecule: ribosomal RNA, 200 nt
Filed under: uncultured bacterium
Lineage: Bacteria
Description: partial 16S ribosomal RNA
Rfam family: Bacterial small subunit ribosomal RNA
Source: RNAcentral
AGAGUUUGAUCAUGGCUCAGAGCGAACGCUGGCGGCAUGCUUAACACAUGCAAGUCGCACGGUCCGGGGUGACCCGGGCAGUGGCGGACGGGUGAGGAACGCGUAGGAAUCUGUCCUGGAGUGGGGGAUAACCGCGGGAAACUGUGGCUAAUACCGCAUGGGGCCUGAGGGUCAAAGGCCGUGAGGCCGCUUUGGGGGGA